GGCCUUUUGAUUAUGAUUUAAGGUCUAGCCUGCCCAAUGAUUGAAGAAUUUAAUGGCCGCAGUAUUCUGACUGUGCAAAGGUAGCAUAAUCAUUAGUUUUUUAAUUGAAAGCUUGUAUGAAAGGUUUGAUGAGAAAAGAACUGUCUCUAUUUAAGAUUUUAGAAAUUUAUUUUUAAGUUAAAAAGCUUAAAUAUUCAUUGAAGACGAGAAGACCCUAUAGAGUUUUAUUUAUAUACUAAUAAAUAAAAUUUAGUAUUUAAAAUUUUAUUAUUAUAUAAAUUUAGUUGGGGUGAUUGAAAAAUUUAUAAAACUUUUUUUUUAUUUUUACAUUUAUUUAUGAAUAUUUGAUCCUUUAUUAGAUUAUAAGAUAAAAUUACCUUAGGGAUAACAGCGUAAUUUUUCUUAAAGUUCUUAUUAAAAGAAAAGAUUGCGACCUCGAUGUUGGAUUAAAAUUAAAUUUUUGGUGUAGAAGCUAAUAAAUUAGGUCUGUUCGACCUUUAAAUUUUUACAUGAUCUGAGUUUAAACCGGUGUAAG
RNAcentral lists this ribosomal RNA (535 nucleotides) under Kyklioacalles provincialis. RNAcentral describes it as "partial 16S ribosomal RNA". It matches the Rfam family "Bacterial large subunit ribosomal RNA", at positions 1819 to 2625 of the family's 2925-position model. The record is from RNAcentral. Lineage: Eukaryota; Metazoa; Arthropoda; Insecta; Coleoptera; Curculionidae.